Molecule: transfer RNA, 65 nt
Filed under: Agrypnus sp. UPOL RK0030
Lineage: Eukaryota; Metazoa; Arthropoda; Insecta; Coleoptera; Elateridae
Description: tRNA-Phe
Source: RNAcentral
ACUCUAAUAGCUUAUAGUUAGAGCAUGAUAUUGAAGAUAUCAAGGGGAUUUUUUAUCUUAGAGUA